This 1374-nucleotide ribosomal RNA is filed under the name Streptococcus thermophilus. Its description in RNAcentral is "16S ribosomal RNA". It matches the Rfam family "Bacterial small subunit ribosomal RNA", at positions 78 to 1439 of the family's 1533-position model. The record is from RNAcentral. Lineage: Bacteria; Bacillati; Bacillota; Bacilli; Lactobacillales; Streptococcaceae.
GCUUGCUCUUCUUGGAUGAGUUGCGAACGGGUGAGUAACGCGUAGGUAACCUGCCUUGUAGCGGGGGAUAACUAUUGGAAACGAUAGCUAAUACCGCAUAACAAUGGAUGACACAUGUCAUUUAUUUGAAAGGGGCAAUUGCUCCACUACAAGAUGGACCUGCGUUGUAUUAGCUAGUAGGUGAGGUAAUGGCUCACCUAGGCGACGAUACAUAGCCGACCUGAGAGGGUGAUCGGCCACACUGGGACUGAGACACGGCCCAGACUCCUACGGGAGGCAGCAGUAGGGAAUCUUCGGCAAUGGGGGCAACCCUGACCGAGCAACGCCGCGUGAGUGAAGAAGGUUUUCGGAUCGUAAAGCUCUGUUGUAAGUCAAGAACGGGUGUGAGAGUGGAAAGUUCACACUGUGACGGUAGCUUACCAGAAAGGGACGGCUAACUACGUGCCAGCAGCCGCGGUAAUACGUAGGUCCCGAGCGUUGUCCGGAUUUAUUGGGCGUAAAGCGAGCGCAGGCGGUUUGAUAAGUCUGAAGUUAAAGGCUGUGGCUCAACCAUAGUUCGCUUUGGAAACUGUCAAACUUGAGUGCAGAAGGGGAGAGUGGAAUUCCAUGUGUAGCGGUGAAAUGCGUAGAUAUAUGGAGGAACACCGGUGGCGAAAGCGGCUCUCUGGUCUGUAACUGACGCUGAGGCUCGAAAGCGUGGGGAGCGAACAGGAUUAGAUACCCUGGUAGUCCACGCCGUAAACGAUGAGUGCUAGGUGUUGGAUCCUUUCCGGGAUUCAGUGCCGCAGCUAACGCAUUAAGCACUCCGCCUGGGGAGUACGACCGCAAGGUUGAAACUCAAAGGAAUUGACGGGGGCCCGCACAAGCGGUGGAGCAUGUGGUUUAAUUCGAAGCAACGCGAAGAACCUUACCAGGUCUUGACAUCCCGAUGCUAUUUCUAGAGAUAGAAAGUUACUUCGGUACAUCGGUGACAGGUGGUGCAUGGUUGUCGUCAGCUCGUGUCGUGAGAUGUUGGGUUAAGUCCCGCAACGAGCGCAACCCCUAUUGUUAGUUGCCAUCAUUCAGUUGGGCACUCUAGCGAGACUGCCGGUAAUAAACCGGAGGAAGGUGGGGAUGACGUCAAAUCAUCAUGCCCCUUAUGACCUGGGCUACACACGUGCUACAAUGGUUGGUACAACGAGUUGCGAGUCGGUGACGGCGAGCUAAUCUCUUAAAGCCAAUCUCAGUUCGGAUUGUAGGCUGCAACUCGCCUACAUGAAGUCGGAAUCGCUAGUAAUCGCGGAUCAGCACGCCGCGGUGAAUACGUUCCCGGGCCUUGUACACACCGCCCGUCACACCACGAGAGUUUGUAACACCCGAAGUCGGUGAGGUAAC